Molecule: transfer RNA, 73 nt
Filed under: Pseudomonadota bacterium
Lineage: Bacteria; Pseudomonadati; Pseudomonadota
Also listed under: 1 other name
Description: tRNA-Thr
Rfam family: tRNA
About the family: Transfer RNA (tRNA) molecules are approximately 80 nucleotides in length. Their secondary structure includes four short double-helical elements and three loops (D, anti-codon, and T loops). Further hydrogen bonds mediate the characteristic L-shaped molecular structure. tRNAs have two regions of fundamental functional importance: the anti-codon, which is responsible for specific mRNA codon recognition, and the 3' end, to which the tRNAs corresponding amino acid is attached (by aminoacyl-tRNA synthetases). tRNAs cope with the degeneracy of the genetic code in two manners: having more than one tRNA (with a specific anti-codon) for a particular amino acid; and 'wobble' base-pairing, i.e. permitting non-standard base-pairing at the 3rd anti-codon position.
Source: RNAcentral
GCCCCUUUAGCUCAGUCGGUAGAGCAACGCAUUCGUAACGCGUAGGUCGCCGGUUCAAAUCCGGCAGGGGGCU